AGAAAGCAAGCUUAGUAACAAGUAAACUCACAAUCUCAUCAAAAGCAAAAUCUCAAGUUCUUUAAAAAGAAAUUAUGACCAAGUGUUGUUAUCAGAGAAAGUAAUGUUCUGAAUUACUUACAGGCUGUGGUCACAAUAACACUUCAGCAAACGGUGUAAAUUGCUAUACUUGUAAAUAUAAUCAGUUUCCUGCUUUUAUACAGAGAAAGUGUUUGUCUACAAAAUUUCUCACGAGUAAUUUCAUUAAUUUGCUUGAAAAAAAAUAGGCUAGAUUUUAUACUUCAUUAAGUUUGCUUAGCUUAAGAAAACCUUAUAUAAAAUUUCAUGAAUAAAAAAUAAUUCAGAAUUGAAUGUGAAUCUUACUUUUCUAGGACUGAAGUUGCCAGUUAGGCAUACUAAAAGGUUUGUCUUACUACAUACUUCGUUGCUCUCUAAUAUGAAGCCACUUGACAAGAUAGUUUAAGAACUGUAAUAGUUAUUCAUCACUUUCAUUGUGUUAUGAAGAGUACAGGGAGUUCUCUGAAGGAAGAAGCCAAAGCAUGAUGGAAACUUUAAUACUGAAAGUUAUGAGAAUACCUGUCUGCUGUAAUUUUUUGGCUAAGUUGCACAUUUUGAGAGAUGGCAAGGAAAGUAAAGGAGAGAGUCUGAAGAAUUCUCAAAGUCUAAAGAGAAAAAUUAAGUUGGGAAUUAAAGCUAUAGUCGUCCUGCAUCUCUUCCAGAAAUAGGUGGUAAAAUAUUCACUAAUUAAGUCUGACCUUUUAGCAAGAAACACUAUUGGCAAAGAACUCUGAAACCUACUAAGCUGAUCUGUAAACACAGGUUUUAAGUCUUUUAUAAAAAUCAAAAUCCAAGUUAGUUAUGAGUACAAUAAUUCAGUGUGCAAAAAUUUUGCAUCUUUAAUGAAAAUGUUUUAGUAGUACUGGUUGGUGUUGAUCAUGCUAUCUGCUUAUGGUGUUAUGCAUCACCCUUAGUAUGUGGUUGGGAAAGACAGUCAUUAAGGUGAAGACCUUUAAAGACGUUUAUCUAGCUCUUCCUGAUGUUGACAGACAAUUAUAUAGCAGAAUGACUAGUAAGUCCAGACCCUACAAUUCUGAUAGGGUUGGAAUCAUCAGAAGGGUGUGAGAUCUUGUGCAAUGACAUCAAAAUCAUGAUUCCUCUUUUUGCAUUUGCCUAGUGGUUACUAUCGAACUAGUGAGAGACACCAUCUUAAAGGGAAACAAAGGGAGAAAUCAAGUUAAAAAUGUAACUGGGUCUGGUUAGGGCCAAGUUGUAGGUUUGGAUUAUAUUCUCUAUGUUAUAAACCCAGCUCAGUUAUUCAAGGUAGCUCUGGACAGUCAGCUGGAUUCAGCUGAUAACUUGGCCUCGGCACAAAGACCAAAACUAGUAGCAAGAUUGGCAGGAGUACAAGGAGGUGACUUCAGCAGUCCCAGAUAUUAGUGUGUAAGGAGAUUUGUUAGCUCAUUAUCUCAUAAAUAUUAGUAUUAGUCUACCCAGUUCUAAUUAAGCACUUUGUUGACAUAUUAUGGAAGCUUUGCACCACUGACUCAGUACCUUUAGGGCCAUACCCAAGGGUUUCCAGAUUUACCCAUAUUUUCUGUAACCCUGCUCUCCUUACCCUUCUCUAGGGUAAUCCCUAGAGAACAGAAAACUGUCUGAAAGCAUACUUAAGACAGCCCUCUGUCCAAGAUUUCUUAAGUAUGUCUUCUUUCUGCAUAAAUUCUGUCUAGACAGAUUCAGGGAUUGUCUAAACUUGUUCUGGAUUUCUGGAUGUUUUCUAGCUCAUAAAGCUGGCUGUUACUGCACAGACACAGCGACUCCAAGUAGGCUGCCACACCUCUUGAAAUCCCAGCCAUGCCCACAACGCAGAUGCUGUCUUGAAAAGCAUUAAGCUAUCAAGGGAUAUGCUAAUCAAGUGUAUUAUACCUGUCCCGAAGCUACCGAAAAGACUCUAAUCAGCAAAGAGUUCCAGUUUUAAAACAGAAGACAACAAACCUUUCUACCAAUAUCAUAACAUCUAUAACAGACAGAGCGUUGGGCAGAAUGGUGCACAGAAUCCUACAACAUCAACAAAGAAGACAGUAAGGAUCUUAUCCAGUAAGUGGUCAGCUGGAUAUUGGGAGUUCAAGAAAUGUGCUAAGUGACAUAAAACUGGAACAUCUGCAUGGUAAGUCAUUUUCAAGCAUCAGUUCACUGUGGUUGAAGAAAACAUCAUCUAGACAGAACACCAAACAUGCUCACAGAGUUAAUCACACCUCAUGUGCCGCAAGACAAUUUGAAACGUCAUCUGUGUUGCAUUUGUUAUAUAUACGAAAGUAAGCAUAUGUGAAUAAUUAUUGGUUUGGGGAGGAGUUUAACAGCACGUGAGAUUUAAAAAAA
Long non-coding RNA from Numida meleagris (helmeted guineafowl), 2376 nucleotides. RefSeq lists it as uncharacterized. NCBI's taxonomy places the organism in Eukaryota, Metazoa, Chordata, Aves, Galliformes, Numididae. The record is from RefSeq and is a predicted model, not a curated record. The transcript has 3 exons.